RNAcentral lists this ribosomal RNA (394 nucleotides) under uncultured bacterium. Its description in RNAcentral is "partial 16S ribosomal RNA". It matches the Rfam family "Bacterial small subunit ribosomal RNA", at positions 523 to 918 of the family's 1533-position model. The record is from RNAcentral.
AUACGUAGGGGACGAGCGUUGUCCGGAAUUACUGGGCGUAAAGGGCGCGCAGGCGGAUAUUUAAGUCAGCUGUAAAAGGCAUGAGCUCAACUCAUGUAUGCGGUUGAAACUGGGCAUCUAGAGUGCUGGAGAGGUAGGCGGAAUUCCCGGUGUGGCGGUGAAAUGCGUAGAUAUCGGGAAGAACACCAGUGGCGAAGGCGGCUGACUGGCCAGCAACUGACGCUGAGGCGCGAAAGCCAAGGGAGCGAACGGGAUUAGAUACCCCGGUAGUCCUGGCCGUAAACGAUGAAUGCUAGGUGUGGGUGUCGAGAGGCAUCCGUGCCGGAGUUAACGCGAUAAGCAUUCCGCCUGGGGAGUACGAUCGCAAGAUUGAAACUCAAAGGAAUUGACGGGG